CCUACGGGCAGCAGCAGUGGGGGAUAUUGCACAAUGGGGGAAACCCUGAUGCAGCGACGCCGCGUGUGGGAAGACGGUCUUCUGGAUUGUAAACCACUGUCCCCAGGGACGAAAAUGACGGUACCUAGGGAGGAAGCUCCGGCUAACUACGUGCCAGCAGCCGCGGUAAUACGUAGGGAGCAAGCGUUGUCCGGAAUUACUGGGUGUAAAGGGAGCGUAGGCGGGGAUGCAAGUUGGGUGUCAAAACUACCGGCUCAACCGAUAGUCGCACUCAAAACUGCAACUCUUGAGUGAAGUAGAGGCAGGCGGAAUUCCUAGUGUAGCGGUGAAAUGCGUAGAUAGUAGGAGGAACACCAGUGGCGAAGGCGGCCUGCUGGGCUUUUACUGACGCUGAGGCUCGAAAGUGUGGGGAGCAAACAGGAUUAGAUACCCCAGUAGUC
This 440-nucleotide ribosomal RNA is filed under the name uncultured bacterium. RNAcentral's name for it is "partial 16S ribosomal RNA". It matches the Rfam family "Bacterial small subunit ribosomal RNA", at positions 338 to 795 of the family's 1533-position model. The record is from RNAcentral.